UACGUAGGGGGCGAGCGUUGUCCGGAAUUAUUGGGCGUAAAGAGCUUGUAGGCGGUCUGUCGCGUCUGCUGUGAAAAUCCGGGGCUCAACCCCGGACUUGCAGUGGGUACGGGCAGACUAGAGUGUGGUAGGGGAGACUGGAAUUCCUGGUGUAGCGGUGAAAUGCGCAGAUAUCAGGAAGAACACCAAUGGCGAAAGCAGCUUUCUGGGACGGUACUGACGCUGAGACGCGAAAGCGUGGGGAGCGAACAGG
Molecule: ribosomal RNA, 253 nt
Filed under: uncultured bacterium
Lineage: Bacteria
Description: partial 16S ribosomal RNA
Rfam family: Bacterial small subunit ribosomal RNA
Source: RNAcentral